GUCUUUUUGAAUUUUAUAAAAAGUCUGGUCUGCCCACUGAUUUUUUUAAAUGGCCGCAGUAUUUUAACUGUGCAAAGGUAGCAUAAUCAUUAGUCUUUUAAUUGGGGACUGGAAUGAAUGGCUGGACGUGAUAAAGGCUGUUUCAUAAAAAUAAUAUAGAAUUUUAUUUUUUAGUUAAAAAGCUAAAAUAGUUUUAAAAGACGAGAAGACCCUAUAGAUCUUUAUAUAAAUUUUAUUAUUGUUAUUUAGUUAUUUUAGAAAUUAAUAGAUUAUAUAUUUUAUUGGGGUGAUAUUGAAAUUUAUAAAACUUUUAAUUAUUUAAGUUAAAAUCAUAAAUUAAUGAGUUUUUGAUCCUUUUUUAUUGAUUAAAAAUUUAAGUUACCUUAGGGAUAACAGCGUAAUUAUUUUGGAGAGUUCAAAUCGAUAAAAUAGAUUGCGACCUCGAUGUUGGAUUAAGAUUAAUUUUGGGCGCAGCUGUUCAAAAAAUUAAGUCUGUUCGACUUUUAAUUUCUU
RNAcentral lists this ribosomal RNA (513 nucleotides) under Systenus leucurus. RNAcentral describes it as "partial 16S ribosomal RNA". It matches the Rfam family "Bacterial large subunit ribosomal RNA", at positions 1819 to 2597 of the family's 2925-position model. Lineage: Eukaryota; Metazoa; Arthropoda; Insecta; Diptera; Dolichopodidae. The record is from RNAcentral.